AAUAAAUAAAUAAAUAAAUAAAAAAUAAAAGAUGUUUCAACCAGUCAAGGAUGAAGUAAAAUGGGAUUAACUCUCUGGGGAAGAAGGAGGGUUCCUUCUGUCUCUGAAAAAUGUCAGCUAGCCAGCUGUUGGAGAGGGUUCUGCUGGCAGAGAGGCAGGCAAUCAUCAGAGUGGCCCAGAGACCUCUGAGGACCUUUCCAGUGCUCAGGUUCAAUGAAGAAUGAUCCCAACAAGGAAGACCCUGGGGUCUAGCCCCAAGAGAGGAUCCCUGGCCCUCAAAAAGCAGCAGAGGGGGCAUGAACAGGCAGUCAUGUACUAUGCACUCACUCAGGGGUCUGUGCCCACACAUCCUGGCAAGUUGCUUCCCACCCCCUCCCAAGGAGAGGCCGGCGUGGGACACGGGGAAGUGGGAAACAAAGUGACUGGGAUGUGUCUGGAAGGUAACACACUUGCCCAGCCUGAGUCUGGGGAUGGCAUAUAUUGUCGCUCCAAUUAACUGAUGUUCUCCAAAGAGAGGGUAUUCAUUAUUCAACAAAUAUUUAUUCAGUGAUUACUAAGUGCCAAGUACUAUAGUAGAUGCUGGGGACACUUGAACCAGUCAGCCAUGGUUCUCGCCUUUUAGAAGCUCAGAGACAAGUUAGGGAGAAGACUAUUGAACAAACAAAAACAAUUUCAGGUUGUGACAAGUGUAAUGACAGAAAAGAAUAGGGUGCCAUGACCCAGAGUAAUGAAAGGGGCCUGAGACUGGGGUGGGACCAAAGAAGGUGUCUUUGUGACCUGGGUUAGUAGGGAUUUAAAGAGCCUCUCCUUUGUUUCAUUAGCUCUGCUUUGGAGGUCACGGGGGAGAAGAGAGAACACUUUUAGGGGUAGCAGCAAUCCAGAAAACUCUCACAGCAUACACAGACAGGCAGGAUGGCAUGGUGCAUCACACACACAUGUAGGCAGAGAACACACAUCAGCCACAGGAGGGCAAACCACAUGUGUGCACUGCCAUUCUCAGCAAGCAAAGUUGCUCUCGAGGCAUCCCCAGCUCUGGGAGGAUAACAGGGCUCUGGGGAAGUAUGUUAUUUCCAGAAUAGAGAGGCUGCCAAGUACUCUCUCCCCCUGCCAAACCCCACUCCACUCCUCCUCCACCUCCCCCACCCCACCCUUCCUCCACCUCUGUUCUCACCUCCAUCAAGCAGCUCCUUGACAGUGCGGUAGUCAUCAGCAAGGACAGCAUAGUGCAAGGCCGUGCAGCCCUUGAAACUGGCGCGGUUGUUCAGCCGGUUGUUGAAGUCAUCCUCUCGGGUGAUCAGGACUGGGGAGACAGCAACACAAACCCUUCCAUUAGCAAUGACAGCAUGAGUCACCAAUCUCACCUGUUUUCUCGUGGCAUUUUAAUUCACUCACUCACUCACUCAUCUACCUACUCACUAAGCAUAAAAUGGCACCUACUAUGUUCCUGGCCAUCUGUGCUGGGUAAGAAGAGGCAAAACAGAGGCCAGUUAGUUCCACAGUGUUUACUGACAUCUGUUAUGUGUUAGGAUUCAUCCUGGGGACAUGAAAUAGAUCAGAUAAGGUCCCUGACCUAACUGAUGAGGGAGGCAGACAAUAACCAGAUGUUUAUAGAACUGUUUGAGAUAAAUGCUCUGUUACAGGUAUAACAGAAAAAUAUACCAGAAUGCCACAGGAGAGUUUAGCUCAACUUGGACAUGAGGAGAGGAUCCCAGAAGACAGGAGUCUUAAAGGAUGAAGAGAAGUUAUGCAGGACACCAAUGUGCCUCUGAAGAUGGCACUCUGAGGGCUGGAGAGAAAGGAAAGAACAAUCGGGCCAACAAGAUUUCCAUACCAAGCACCCUUGGGCUACCUGAACCAGUAAGACUGCCCUCUACCCAGAAACACCAACGUUGACAAAAGUGGACCCAGCUGAGUAGGCUUCUUGCUAAAGAGCAAUGCUCACAUGACACAGGAGAAGAGUGAAACUAGGAAUGGCAUAACCAAUGACAAAGUCUCAGCAAGGAUGGCAAAGAAGUUUCUUUCCUCCCUAGGCUGUGUCUGUUCUCAGCAGGUAAAACGGACACAAAGCAUCUUUGAUACCUUUUAGUUUUCUUGCCUGGAUCCUCUUUCCUGCUCACACCUUAAAUGCUGGUAUCCUGAGUAAAGGACUUGUUCUCCUACCACUCCCUCA
Non-coding RNA from Macaca mulatta (Rhesus monkey), 2170 nucleotides. The record is from RefSeq and is a predicted model, not a curated record. Lineage: Eukaryota; Metazoa; Chordata; Mammalia; Primates; Cercopithecidae.